This 253-nucleotide ribosomal RNA is filed under the name uncultured bacterium. Its description in RNAcentral is "partial 16S ribosomal RNA". It matches the Rfam family "Bacterial small subunit ribosomal RNA", at positions 524 to 776 of the family's 1533-position model. The record is from RNAcentral.
UACGUAGGGUGCAAGCAUUAAUCGGAUUUAUUGGGCGUAAAGGGCGCGUAGGCGGGAAGGUAAGUCAUAUGUGAAAUCCCGGGGCUCAACCUCGGAACAGCAUCUGAAACUACCUUUCUUGAGGGUAGGCGGAGAAAACGGAAUUCCACAAGUAGCGGUGAAAUGCGUAGAUAUGUGGAAGAACACCGGUGGCGAAGGCGGUUUUCUAUCUUAUUCCUGACGCUGAUGCGCGAAAGCAAGGGGAUCAAACAGG